Molecule: ribosomal RNA, 372 nt
Filed under: uncultured bacterium
Lineage: Bacteria
Description: bacterial SSU rRNA
Rfam family: Bacterial small subunit ribosomal RNA
Source: RNAcentral
AGCACUGUAGUUGUCAGCAGCCGCGGUAAUACGUAGGGUGCAAGCGUUAAUCGGAAUUACUGGGCGUAAAGCGUGCGCAGGCGGUUAUGUAAGACAGAUGUGAAAUCCCCGGGCUCAACCUGGGAACUGCAUUUGUGACUGCAUAGCUAGAGUACGGUAGAGGGGGAUGGAAUUCCGCGUGUAGCAGUGAAAUGCGUAGAUAUGCGGAGGAACACCGAUGGCGAAGGCAAUCCCCUGGACCUGUACUGACGCUCAUGCACGAAGCGUGGGAGCAAACAGGAUUAGACUACCCUGGUACGUCCACGACCCUAAACGAUGUCAACUGGUUGUUGGUCUUCACUGACUCAGUAACGAAGCUAACGCGUAGAAGUU